UGGGGAAUAUUGCACAAUGGGCGCAAGCCUGAUGCAGCCAUGCCGCGUGUAUGAAGAAGGCCUUCGGGUUGUAAAGUACUUUCAGCGGGGAGGAAGGGAGUAAAGUUAAUACCUUUGCUCAUUGACGUUACCCGCAGAAGAAGCACCGGCUAACUCCGUGCCAGCAGCCGCGGUAAUACGGAGGGUGCAAGCGUUAAUCGGAAUUACUGGGCGUAAAGCGCACGCAGGCGGUUUGUUAAGUCAGAUGUGAAAUCCCCGGGCUCAACCUGGGAACUGCAUCUGAUACUGGCAAGCGUGAGUCUCGUAGAGGGGGGUAGAAUUCCAGGUGUAGCGGUGAAAUGCGUAGAGAUCUGGGGGAAUACCGGUGGCGAAGGCGGCCCCCUGGACGAAGACUGACGCUCAGGUGCGAAAGCGUGGGGAGCAAACAGG
This 429-nucleotide ribosomal RNA is filed under the name Chloroflexota bacterium. Its description in RNAcentral is "Chloroflexi bacterium partial 16S ribosomal RNA". It matches the Rfam family "Bacterial small subunit ribosomal RNA", at positions 355 to 776 of the family's 1533-position model. Lineage: Bacteria; Bacillati; Chloroflexota. The record is from RNAcentral.